This 254-nucleotide ribosomal RNA is filed under the name uncultured bacterium. Its description in RNAcentral is "partial 16S ribosomal RNA". It matches the Rfam family "Bacterial small subunit ribosomal RNA", at positions 524 to 776 of the family's 1533-position model. The record is from RNAcentral.
UACGUAGGGCGCAAGCGUUUGUCCGGAAUUAUUGGGCGUAAAGAGCUCGUAGGCGGUCUGUCGCGUCCGUUGUGAAAACUCGAGGCUCAACCUCGGGCUUGCAGUGGAUACGGGCAGACUAGAGUGCGGUAGGGGAGACUGGAAUUCCUGGUGUAGCGGUGGAAUGCGCAGAUAUCAGGAGGAACACCGAUGGCGAAGGCAGGUCUCUGGGCCGCAACUGACGCUGAGGAGCGAAAGCAUGGGGAGCGAACAGG